GUAGGGAAUCUUCCACAAUGGACGCAAGUCUGAUGGAGCAACGCCGCGUGAGUGAAGAAGGGUUUCGGCUCGUAAAGCUCUGUUGGUAGUGAAGAAAGAUAGAGGUAGUAACUGGCCUUUAUUUGACGGUAAUUACUUAGAAAGUCACAGCUAACUACGUGCCAGCAGCCGCGGUAAUACGUAGGUGGCAAGCGUUGUCCGGAUUUAUUGGGCGUAAAGCGAGCGCAGGCGGUUAGAUAAGUCUGAAGUUAAAGGCUGUGGCUUAACCAUAGUACGCUUUGGAAACUGUUUAACUUGAGUGCAAGAGGGGAGAGUGGAAUUCCAUGUGUAGCGGUGAAAUGCGUAGAUAUAUGGAGGAACACCGGUGGCGAAAGCGGCUCUCUGGCUUGUAACUGACGCUGAGGCUCGAAAGCGUGGGGAGCAAACAGGAUUAGAUACCCUGGUAGUCCACGCCGUAAACGAUGAGUGCUAGGUGUUAGACCCUUUCCGGGGUUUAGUGCCGCAGCUAACGCAUUAAGCACUCCGCCUGGGGAGUACGACCGCAAGGUUG
This 550-nucleotide ribosomal RNA is filed under the name uncultured bacterium. Its description in RNAcentral is "bacterial SSU rRNA". It matches the Rfam family "Bacterial small subunit ribosomal RNA", at positions 354 to 896 of the family's 1533-position model. The record is from RNAcentral.